Physeter macrocephalus (sperm whale) is the source of this 291-nucleotide long non-coding RNA. RefSeq lists it as uncharacterized. The transcript is spliced from 6 exons. The record is from RefSeq and is a predicted model, not a curated record. Lineage: Eukaryota; Metazoa; Chordata; Mammalia; Artiodactyla; Physeteridae.
UCUGACUGACGGCAUGUUGGCACCAGCAUUGAAGAAGGUGAUGGGCUUCAGGUCCAGGUUCCUGUCCUGAGACCACAGCAGGAUGUGCCUUGGACAAAGGCUUGGACUCCUGGAUCAUCCAGUGACUUCAAAAUUCUGGUCUCAGGGUGGUGAACUUUUUCUUUGAAUUCCUAACCUGUGAGCCUAUGAUGAUGGUGCCUGUCAAUUAACUGAACUACUGUGAUACAAAACCAAUGGAAGAAACCAAUGGAAGAAUUCAGAUCAGAGGGUAACAAGUCUGCACUUCAAGCA